Molecule: ribosomal RNA, 492 nt
Filed under: uncultured bacterium
Lineage: Bacteria
Description: partial 16S ribosomal RNA
Rfam family: Bacterial small subunit ribosomal RNA
Source: RNAcentral
AGUGAACGCUGGCGGUAGGCCUAACACAUGCAAGUCGAACGGCAGCACAGUAAGAGCUUGCUCUUACGGGUGGCGAGUGGCGGACGGGUGAGGAAUACAUCGGAAUCUACUUUUUCGUGGGGGAUAACGUAGGGAAGCUUACGCUAAUACCGCAUACGACCUACGGGUGCAAGCAGGGGAUCUUCGGACCUUGCGCGAUUGAAUGAGCCGAUGUCGGAUUAGCUAGUUGGCGGGGUAAAGGCCCACCAAGGCGACGAUCCGUAGCUGGUCUGAGAGGAUGAUCAGCCACACUGGAACUGAGACACGGUCCAGACUCCUACGGGAGGCAGCAGUGGGGAAUAUUGGACAGUGGGCGCAAGCCUGAUCCAGCCAUACCGCGUGGGUGAAGAAGGCCUUCGGGUUGUAAAGCCCUUUUGUUGGGAAAGAAAAGCAGCAGGUUAAUACCCCGCUGCUCUGACGGUACCCAAAGAAUAAGCACCGGCUAACUUCGUG